This 751-nucleotide ribosomal RNA is filed under the name Achromobacter xylosoxidans. RNAcentral describes it as "bacterial SSU rRNA". It matches the Rfam family "Bacterial small subunit ribosomal RNA", at positions 543 to 1299 of the family's 1533-position model. The record is from RNAcentral. Lineage: Bacteria; Pseudomonadati; Pseudomonadota; Betaproteobacteria; Burkholderiales; Alcaligenaceae.
AUUCGGAAUUACUGGGCGUAAAGCGUGCGCAGGCGGUUUGGAAAGAAAGAUGUGAAAUCCCAGAGCUUAACUUUGGAACUGCAUUUUUAACUACCGAGCUAGAGUGUGUCAGAGGGAGGUGGAAUUCCGCGUGUAGCAGUGAAAUGMSUAGAUAUGCGGAGGAACACCGAUGGCGAAGGCAGCCUCCUGGGAUAACACUGACGCUCAUGCACGAAAGCGUGGGGAGCAAACAGGAUUAGAUACCYUGGUAGUCCACGCCCUAAACGAUGUCAACUAGCUGUUGGGGCCUUCGGGCCUUGGUAGCGCAGCUAACGCGUGAAGUUGACCGCCUGGGGAGUACGGUCGCAAGAUUAAAACUCAAAGGAAUUGACGGGGACCCGCACAAGCGGUGGAUGAUGUGGAUUAAUUCGAUGCAACGCGAAAAACCUUACCUACCCUUGACAUGUCUGGAAUGCCGAAGAGAUUUGGCAGUGCUCGCAAGAGAACCGGAACACAGGUGCUGCAUGGCUGUCGUCAGCUCGUGUCGUGAGAUGUUGGGUUAAGUCCCGCAACGAGCGCAACCCUUGUCAUUAGUUGCUACGAAAGGGCACUCUAAUGAGACUGCCGGUGACAAACCGGAGGAAGGUGGGGAUGACGUCAAGUCCUCAUGGCCCUUAUGGGUAGGGCUUCACACGUCAUACAAUGGUCGGGACAGAGGGUCGCCAACCCGCGAGGGGGAGCCAAUCCCACAAACCCUAUCUCAGAUCUCAGA